Molecule: ribosomal RNA, 246 nt
Filed under: uncultured bacterium
Lineage: Bacteria
Description: partial 16S ribosomal RNA
Rfam family: Bacterial small subunit ribosomal RNA
Source: RNAcentral
GAAGCGAUGCGGCGACGCAGAGCGGAACUUCAAAGCCUGUCUCAGUUCGGAUUGGAGUCUGCAACCCGACUCCAUGAAGCUGGAUUCGCUAGUAAUCGCGCAUCAGCCACGGCGCGGUGAAUACGUUCCCGGGCCUUGUACACACCGCCCGUCAAGCCAUGGAAGCCGGGAGUGCCUGAAGUGCGUGAGCGCAAGCAGCGCCCUAAGGUAAAACCGGUGACUGGGGCUAAGUCGUAACAAGGUAUC